Molecule: ribosomal RNA, 253 nt
Filed under: uncultured bacterium
Lineage: Bacteria
Description: partial 16S ribosomal RNA
Rfam family: Bacterial small subunit ribosomal RNA
Source: RNAcentral
UACGUAGGGGGCAAGCGUUGUCCGGAUUUAUUGGGCGUAAAGAGCGUGUAGGCGGCCAGGUAGGUGGGUUGUGAAAACUGGAGGCUCAACCUUCAGAGGUCGACCCAAACCCCCUGGCUAGAGUCCGGAAGAGGAGAGUGGAAUUCCUGGUGUAGCGGUGAAAUGCGCAGAUAUCAGGAAGAACACCGAUGGCGAAGGCAGCUCUCUGGGACGGUACUGACGCUGAGACGCGAAAGCGUGGGGAGCGAACAGG